AUAUACAUCCACACAAACAUAU
This 22-nucleotide microRNA is filed under the name Mus musculus (house mouse). RNAcentral's name for it is "mmu-miR-669m-3p". Its record names the gene mmu-miR-669m-3p. Lineage: Eukaryota; Metazoa; Chordata; Mammalia; Rodentia; Muridae. The record is from miRBase by way of RNAcentral.